GGGUAAACUCUGAGAGCUACGGAGAGGGCGGGACGAGCGGGCGCGGGGACAGAGAUCCCACCCAGGGUAGCAAAUCUCCGGCACACAGCCUCGGACAGACCGGAGGACGCGGCUUGGUUACUCUCGGAGGGACCGAAGGGCUGUACAGCUGACUUGCUGUUACAAGGUGGGUUCCUUCUGGACAGAAGAGGCGGAGCAUUGUGGGCAUGGCCAAGAAUGGCGCACCGCCCUUCGCUGCUGCCCCCUCGGCUCUGCUUUCUGAUCACCGUGAGGUCUUCAGAUCUCCAGGAACUGUACUUGACUGUGCCUAAGAAACCUCAUAAGCACUGGCAGCUGAUUAGAUGGCAAAAUAUCAACUUUGAGCUGAUGCAAUAAUGGAUGAGACUCUGAGGAUCUUGAAGAGAUUUCUGGAGGCUGGGAAAUCCAAGAUCAAGGGGCUGGCCUCCGGAGAGCAUCUUCAUGCUGCAUCAUCCCAUGGUGAAAGGAAACAGGGCCAGAGCACAAGAAUUAUGCUAUUGUGGCUGCUUUGAUGUCCUGAAUCGAUUUACCUUUCAUGUUCAUUUUGACUUUGGGGAAGAAUCAGAAGUUACACAGUUCCAGAUCUGGUGAAUGGGAUGGAUGAGGACACACCAACCUUUCUGUUGGAUGGCACUUGGCACUAGUAUCCACCAUAUUUUUGAUCACAUCUUGUAAAGACACUCAUGAAACAGAACUUCCAGGACUGCUUCAGAAAGUGUCAUAAUUAUAUUCAAAGUGAGAGGUUAUAUUUUGAGGGGGAUUAAUGGCAAUGUAUGUUUUAGUGUAAUACAUUUCUUCCCCCUGGUACCUGGCAUCAAACCUAGGACCUUCUGCUUUCAAGGCAGGUGCAGCGCCACUGAGCUAAAUCCCCAGCCCAAUACAUUUUUAAUAUGUAAACAUUCACUAUAUAUUUUGAUCACCCCUUGUACAAGGUAAGAUGGGGCCAAAUUCACUUUUAUGAUGAACCCACUCCUGUGAUGACAACUGAUUCAUGAGAGCCAAGCCCUCAUGGCCUAACCAAUUCUUGAGGGUCCAACCUUUCAACACUAUUGCUUUGGAAAUCAAGUUUCCAAUACAUACACUUUGAGAGAAAGACUCAAACUUUGCAGAACCAUAUCUGGUAUAUUCAGCAUCUAGGACAGGGCUGGGUACAUUGCAGGAAAUAAAAAGACAUGUUGAUUGAAUGAAUGAAACAAAUGUUAAAAGUAGUUCAUUAUGAAGGAGGAGGAUUAUGCAGCCCUUGAAUUGUCUACUUCAUAUGUUUUUUGUUUGAAUUUUUAUGAUGAGUACAUUGGCCAGUUACUCUCAGUGUUCAACAACUAUCCAUGUGUUCUCUAUAUUUCUUACCCUCAAUGCUUUUAGGUGUGUUCAUGGAGCCAAUUCUCACUGAAGGCAUGCGAGUGAAGAAAAUCUAUCUCUAUUCAGAGGCCCUCUUAAAUAAGAUAUUCAGCAAUGUGAUUUAGACUGUUUUUUGGGUUGUUUUUUUUUUAUACUGGGGAUCGAACUCAGGUCCUUCUGCUUGCGAGGCAGGCGGUGGAACUACUGAGCUAAAUCCCUGGCCCGAAACUGUUUUUCUAUGUAGUCUUGUAGUCACAUGAAGAUGAAUUUCAGGAUUUUGUUUGUUUGUUUUUCUGGUACCAGGGAUUGAACUCAGGUCCUUGCACUUGCAAGGUCAGGUUGUUGUUUUGCUCUUUAAUUUUCAGAAAUUAUCUUGUGUAUUGUGUCUUUCCUGUCUUUCUAAAAUAUCACUUUCCUGAAAGAACUAGGUUUGUGUCUUGUCUCUCUUGUUCACUGCUGUUUCCUCAGUGCCUAAAACAGUGACUACCAUGUGUGGGCAAAGCUAGAAAGCAGUGAUGAGUUCUGCCCAGCAGCAUCCUACGAGAGGUGUGCCUGAGGGGGUGAGAGGUCUUUCUGAGGAUACCAGCAGAUUCAGGAUAGAAGGAACUAAAAGAUGGCAGCUUGUAAUUCCUCACAGACUUGCUUUCUCAGGGACUCUGCAAUUUGCAGAGAUGUAAUUUACAGCUGCUCCAAGAAGAUCAGCAGGAGAGCUGCUAAUAACUGCCUUAUAAGCAUUGUGUGAUUCAUCAGCUGGGAUGUUUUGUUACUGUUACAGACAACUAGCCCAGAAAGUUGGGCUGCUUUGCAUCAAGUGAUGGAGUGGGAGACUCUGGUUUCUUCUGUUUUGUUGUUCUCCCAUCUCCCAGGUUGUUGUCAUCUUCAUGAUUGAGUUGGAUGCCCUCCUUCUGUCUGCAUUCCAGUCUCAAAAAAGAAGAAACAAAGGGGAGGCAUGUAACUUUCUUUUGAGGAUGUUCCUUGGAAGUGGCAUAUAUUACUUAGGCUCAUAUCCUAUUGAUGAGAACUUACUCAUAUGACUACCUUAAUUGCAAGAGACUCUGAGUUAUGACAGAGUCACUGGGGAAAUGGUUAUAAUGGAACUAGCUUCCUAGGCCUCUGGGUUUCCUCAAGAUUUUGAACUUAAAUAAGUAUUUCAGGCAAUUUUCGCACACAGAAAAAGUUGUGAGCCACUGCUUUCUGUUCCUUGACAGCUUCAAGCCAAAUUUCUCUUGUGUCACUUCCCUGAGUCCUCUUCAGGUCUCCAUCAUCCUUAGCCAGCUCUCCCUUUCUAAGCUGCUGGGCUUCUGCUGAGUGUGCUUGCUCUUUAGUGCAUCUUGGAUAAUGGUGGCUGCAUUUGAUCCGGCAUGCUCUCAGUUUUCUCCUAUGUUAAACAAGGUCAGACUGGUUGGCUUUUAAGAUCUCGAACAUGAAGAUGUUAAAUUUUCCCAACCAAAAUUUAUCCUAAUAGCUAGGCGGAGGAUGCAGCUAAGUGGUACAGCACUCACUUAGCAUGUGUGAGGCCCCGGGUUUGAUCCCCAGCAUUGUGCUGGCAUGUGCAUGCAUGCAUGCAAUUAUAGUGAUAAUUGUAGUAAUAGAAUUUAUCUAGUCUUAGCUCCUUGGAUUCCUGGAUUUCUUAGGUUUCUGGAGACUUCUUGGGGAUAUGCCAUAGACAGCAUCAACCUACAUUCUUUUCAUUCAUAAAGGGUCCUCCUGAAGGACACCCAAGUAUAAUUGAGUAGCUUAGACCUGGAGCAGAGAAGCAGCUCAAUACUUGUGUGUUUGUGUGUGGGGGAGUUAUUUAUGUUGCAAGCUUCCUCAGUAUGGCUAAUUCCAGCAGCUUUCUGUAAUUUUUAAGGUCAGAGAUAACAAGGUAAGUUGUCUUUUAAAGAAAUUUUAUCUAGGGCUGGCGAUUUAGCUCAGUGGUUCCACCACUUGCCUUGCAAGUGCAAGGUCCUGAGUUUGAUCCCCAGUACCAAAAAAAACAAAAAAGAAAUUUUACUCAGUCAUGUUCUGAACAGCCCUGAGAUGCACCUUGAGCAAGAAAGAUUUCAUGGGGAAAAAAGGGAGUAGGUGGGCUCAGGGAGAACUGGGAGGAACCAGAAGAAGUGAAGAGUGUGGGAUUAGAAAAUAUCUGUAACUUCCUAAGUUUUUGCAGAGAAUCCCCAGGCUUUUGCAGCUCUCUUGGUAGGUUUUUAAAGCUAUUGAGUAAAAUAGAGGCUUUUAGUAACUUUUAGAAGUACCAUCUUUGCAUUUCUGCAGCACGAGGUGUACGUGUCUUUUUCAUUUUUAGUGGUAAAGUUUAUAUGUGCCCAAUAUUUGGUUAUUAAUCAUCCAAUGACACUGAAUAACUAAGUUAGCCAAGUAUUCCCUUUAACAAAACAGAUGUUGUUUAAAGUCACUGUUUUACUUUAUGAAGAAAAUUCCACUUACAUGUAAAAUAUGUAAUUUAUAAAAAGAAGACAAGAAAUAAAGGGAAAACAUGUGAUUUACAUUCAAAAAUAAAAAUAUUCUUUUGG
This is a long non-coding RNA of Heterocephalus glaber (naked mole-rat), 3869 nucleotides long. The record is from Ensembl. NCBI's taxonomy places the organism in Eukaryota, Metazoa, Chordata, Mammalia, Rodentia, Bathyergidae.